Long non-coding RNA from Gallus gallus (chicken), 1581 nucleotides. The record is from Ensembl. NCBI's taxonomy places the organism in Eukaryota, Metazoa, Chordata, Aves, Galliformes, Phasianidae.
GCAGUGGAAGCGAGGACAUCUUUUACUGGAGAUCCCUGCCUACCUGAGGCCUUCCAAAGGUUGAGGAGCUGAUGACAACGUGGUUAUGAUGGCUUCACAUCUUCUAAUGCAUCAGCUGCCCUGCUGCAGGCAGCUCUGACUGCACUAACUCUGCUGUGACUACAAAAUCACGUGAAUUACUAAAAGAUAUGCCACAAUGUCCACCCCUAUUGCAAGAUAAAUGUAACAUGUAGCUGUUACACAGUUUUUGUUCCACCACUGUAAAUUGGAUGACCAAGCCCUUGGGGGGACAUAUGGAAACAGGAAUCAUAGGAAAAGUUGAGCAAAGCAAUUCAGAGAAAGAAAGCCAGCUUUGCAUGUUCUUUUCUUACAUGUCCAAUGCUGUUGUCAGUUCUGAUAUUACAAACUAUUACAAGUCUGAAUCCUUCCUAUACAAAGAGAUCUUAUUUUGUGCUCUGCUUUCUGUUCACGCAACCUCUGCAAUUUUAUUUUCCACUGACUCUGCCUCUGUAAGAUGAACUGUAUGGUUGGAGUGGGACUGGGGGGAAAGCAUUUUGGCUAUACACAUUUUAUGCUAUUGUUCAGUCCAGCAUGUAUGCUGGCAAUGACUGUACCCAUUUAACAACAUUAUGGCUAAGCAAUGUACUUCUACCUUUUCUUCUUGAUAGCUUCAGUUUUAAGGAGUUCUUAAGCUUUGACAAAUUUUGGCAAAAGCUAUAAAUUGACUUCAUUUAGUACCUGGUAUUUCCCUAAGGCAUUUAUUUUCAAAGGCUCUUAGGCUUCUUUCUGUACUUUUGGUAGAUUUCCAGCUUUUAUGUCCUUGCAGUAAAAUGGAAAUAACACAGUUGGGUCUGUAUAAAUAGCUAUAUAAUAAUAUAUCAUCGGAAACUUAGCUAGGGGAGGACCCUGUGAAAUGCAGUUGUAACAGCGUUCUCAGGUAAAAUGUACCAGACAGAACAAACAAGUAGAGCAAGACCAGGAAUAUUCUUCAUUUCUGACAUGAAUACUGGCAACAGAGACCGGUCUGCUUCUACACAAACCAACUAAAGCAGCUGGAAAAUGAUAUAUAAAAAGCCCAUAUACUGGGAAAAACCUGAUGUAUAAUGUACUGCAGAACGUCCCAAAGUGGUUUAGAGAGAAUGUAGAGUAAUUUUAUGGUACGAGGAGACAGGGUGGGUGGCACAAUGACACUAAAAUAUGUAAUGCUCCCAGUAAGAAUCCAAGGCAGUCUGUGGCAGGUAGUGUAAGAGAUCACCAGGCAUCGCGCUGCUGGCAGAUGGCAAUACAGAAUCACUUUGAGCCAACAGGAUUGCCUUCAUAAUUGGUGAGGAGAGUACGGGUAAAAAAAAAUAUAAAAAAUAAAAGUCAGCACUCUCCCUUUUUAGGGAUUAGAGGUAUUAUUUCUGAAUUAAUAGGAUAUUAGACAAGUAUGAACACACUAUAAUUGAUUCAGAUAUUUCCAAUUCACUCUUUGUCAGGAACAUCUAAAAUGAAAAUGUAUCCAUAAUAUUGUUUCCAUAAUAAUUUGGGUAACAUUGCUAUUGUUGAACCAUAAAUAAAGUACAUCAGCUUCUCUUUAAC